GGUGAUCUAGCCAUGGGCAGGUUGAAGGUUGGGUAACACUAACUGGAGGACCGAACCGACUAAUGUUGAAAAAUUAGCGGAUGACUUGUGGCUGGGGGUGAAAGGCCAAUCAAACCGGGAGAUAGCUGGUUCUCCCCGAAAGCUAUUUAGGUAGCGCCUCGUGAAUUCAUCUCCGGGGGUAGAGCACUGUUUCGGCAAGGGGGUCAUCCCGACUUACCAACCCGAUGCAAACUGCGAAUACCGGAGAAUGUUAUCACGGGAGACACACGGCGGGUGCUAACGUCCGUCGUGAAGAGGGAAACAACCCAGACCGCCAGCUAAGGUCCCAAAGUCAUGGUUAAGUGGGAAACGAUGUGGGAAGGCCCAGACAGCCAGGAUGUUGGCUUAGAAGCAGCCAUCAUUUAAAGAAAGCGUAAUAGCUCACUGGUCGAGUCGGCCUGCGCGGAAGAUGUAACGGGGCUAAACCAUGCACCGAAGCUGCGGCAGCGACACUAUGUGUUGUUGGGUAGGGGAGCGUUCUGUAAGCCUGUGAAGGUGGCCUGUGAGGGUUGCUGGAGGUAUCAGAAGUGCGAAUGCUGACAUAAGUAACGAUAAAGCGGGUGAAAAGCCCGCUCGCCGGAAGACCAAGGGUUCCUGUCCAACGUUAAUCGGGGCAGGGUGAGUCGACCCCUAAGGCGAGGCCGAAAGGCGUAGUCGAUGGGAAACAGGUUAAUAUUCCUGUACUUGGUGUUACUGCGAAGGGGGGACGGAGAAGGCUAUGUUGGCCGGGCGACGGUUGUCCCGGUUUAAGCGUGUAGGCUGGUUUUCCAGGCAAAUCCGGAAAACCAAGGCUGAGGCGUGAUGACGAGGCACUACGGUGCUGAAGC
RNAcentral lists this ribosomal RNA (866 nucleotides) under Escherichia coli. RNAcentral describes it as "partial 23S ribosomal RNA". It matches the Rfam family "Bacterial large subunit ribosomal RNA", at positions 724 to 1591 of the family's 2925-position model. The record is from RNAcentral. Lineage: Bacteria; Pseudomonadati; Pseudomonadota; Gammaproteobacteria; Enterobacterales; Enterobacteriaceae.